AGGGAUGUGGCUCAGUGGUAGGGCACUUGCACGGCAUGCAUGAGGGCCUGGGUUCAAUCCCUAGCACUGCAA
Molecule: transfer RNA, 72 nt
Filed under: Heterocephalus glaber (naked mole-rat)
Lineage: Eukaryota; Metazoa; Chordata; Mammalia; Rodentia; Bathyergidae
Rfam family: tRNA
About the family: Transfer RNA (tRNA) molecules are approximately 80 nucleotides in length.
Source: Rfam by way of RNAcentral